Molecule: transfer RNA, 83 nt
Filed under: Plenodomus lingam JN3
Lineage: Eukaryota; Fungi; Ascomycota; Dothideomycetes; Pleosporales; Leptosphaeriaceae
Description: tRNA-Thr for anticodon CGU
Rfam family: tRNA
About the family: Transfer RNA (tRNA) molecules are approximately 80 nucleotides in length. Their secondary structure includes four short double-helical elements and three loops (D, anti-codon, and T loops). Further hydrogen bonds mediate the characteristic L-shaped molecular structure. tRNAs have two regions of fundamental functional importance: the anti-codon, which is responsible for specific mRNA codon recognition, and the 3' end, to which the tRNAs corresponding amino acid is attached (by aminoacyl-tRNA synthetases). tRNAs cope with the degeneracy of the genetic code in two manners: having more than one tRNA (with a specific anti-codon) for a particular amino acid; and 'wobble' base-pairing, i.e. permitting non-standard base-pairing at the 3rd anti-codon position.
Source: Rfam by way of RNAcentral
GCCCGUUUGGCUUAGGGGUACAGCGUCGCACUCGUAAUUUCUGCGUCAUGCGAAGAUCCGCGGUUCGAUUCCGCGAAUGGGCA